Orcinus orca (killer whale) is the source of this 1030-nucleotide long non-coding RNA. RefSeq lists it as uncharacterized. The transcript has 2 exons. The record is from RefSeq and is a predicted model, not a curated record. Lineage: Eukaryota; Metazoa; Chordata; Mammalia; Artiodactyla; Delphinidae.
UCUGCUCCCUCCCUCAGCCUAAAACAUCCUGUUCUCUACGUGUCAGCGAUGAGGGCUCACUUGGCUCCCAAACCCCUCCAGGGAAGAGGUUGGGCUGAGGUUGCUCUCCAAAUCACACAGCACUAAUGCAUCACAUCUGGACGCAGCUGCGCCCUGGGCUGCACUGCACAACCGUCCGUGAGCUCAUCCAGGCCUCCGGAGGAGCUCUGCUGAGAGAGAGCUGGGGCAGAGCCAGGCCACCCUGUGCUGCGGCUCCCUCCCCGACGUGGGUGCUCAUGGCAUUGACCUCAGCGCAUGAUGGCAGAAAACACACUGCAGACCUCCGUUCCCAGCCAUGAAUUGGCCUCAGAAAUUAGCUACAAAGACCGAACCAGGAUGAGUCAAGGACAAGUUGCUUCUUGGCCCAGAAGCUCCCGCAAGGCAAGAACUGGGCAAGGGCUCCCUUUGCUUCACGCUUCCUCACCAGUAGAAAGGGGCUCACGAUAACGCCAGUUUCACGGGGCUUUGGGGAAGCUUAGACCAGAGGAAGAGUGGGGGAAGCUGAAGGAUUAUCACGACUGACCAUGCGCGGCCAAGGCUGUGGUUCCCGGUGCUCCCUUCCCUCCUUCGCUCCCGCCCUCCCUGACCUGGCCAGUUGGGAAAUGGACCUUCUUGGAUGCAGGGUUGUUUUCUCUGGCCUGGCUUCCGCUCAGGGCCUAUGCGCACCCCGGAUGGCGGGCGUGGGUGGAACAUGGUGAGAGCAGGCUGCCAGUGGAGACGGGAGGCCCAGUGCAGGCACCAGUUAAAGGGACACGGCCACUGGGCCUCCCCCCCACCCCUCCCACUGACAGGCAUAGGAGACCUUUUGUUUCUGGAUCCGAACACUAAGAAGGUGCACACAACUCAAAGGAUUUCUGACCCUGAAAGGUGCUGCUUUGACCAGCCACACUUGGCACUUGGGGGUUAAUUCUAUUUGACCACAGUCAAUAUAAUAGUCUAAUAAAUUUGACCACAUUUGAUAUUUGUAUUAAAAUUUGUGCUUCAUUCCAAA